This 590-nucleotide ribosomal RNA is filed under the name uncultured Bacillus sp. RNAcentral describes it as "bacterial SSU rRNA". It matches the Rfam family "Bacterial small subunit ribosomal RNA", at positions 337 to 917 of the family's 1533-position model. Lineage: Bacteria; Bacillati; Bacillota; Bacilli; Caryophanales; Bacillaceae. The record is from RNAcentral.
UCCUACGGGAGGCAGCAGUAGGGAAUCUUCCGCAAUGGACGAAAGUCUGACGGAGCAACGCCGCGUGAGUGAUGAAGGCUUUCGGGUCGUAAAACUCUGUUGUUAGGGAAGAACAAGUGCUAGUUGAAUAAGCUGGCACCUUGACGGUACCUAACCAGAAAGCCACGGCUAACUACGUGCCAGCAGCCGCGGUAAUACGUAGGUGGCAAGCGUUAUCGGGAAUUAUUGGGCGUAAAGCGCGCGCAGGUGGUUUCUUAAGUCUGAUGUGAAAGCCCACGGCUCAACCGUGGAGGGUCAUUGGAAACUGGGAGACUUGAGUGCAGAAGAGGAAAGUGGAAUUCCAUGUGUAGCGGUGAAAUGCGUAGAGAUAUGGAGGAACACCAGUGGCGAAGGCGACUUUCUGGUCUGUAACUGACACUGAGGCGCGAAAGCGUGGGGAGCAAACAGGAUUAGAUACCCUGGUAGUCCACGCCGUAAACGAUGAGUGCUAAGUGUUAGAGGGUUUCCGCCCUUUAGUGCUGAAGUUAACGCAUUAAGCACUCCGCCUGGGGAGUACGGCCGCAAGGCUGAAACUCAAAGGAAUUGACGGA